GGUUCUUUGAAUGUAAAAUGAAGAAUCUAACCUGCCCAAUGAUAAUUAAAUGGCCGCGGUAUUUUGACCGUGCGAAGGUAGCAUAAUCAUUAGUCUUUUAAUUGUGGACUGGAAUGAAUGGUUGGACGAGAUAACAGCUUUUUUAUUCUUAAACGUCUAAUUUUACUUUUUAGUGAAGAGGCUAAAAUGAGACCAAAAGACAAGAAGACCCUAUCAAGUUUUAUUAUAUUAUGAGGAAGAAUGAGAAGAAAUUAUAACUUGAAAAUAAUUUUACUGGGGCGGUGAAUUAUAACAAGUUGAUGAUCCAAAAUUUUUGAUUGUCUGAUUAAAUUACUGUAGGGAUAACAGCGUAAUCUUACUUGAGAGUUCAUAUCGACAGUAAGGGUUGCGACCUCGAUGUUGGAUUAGAAUACCUUUUUGGAGCAGAAUCUAAAAAAGGUGGUCUGUUCGACCAUUAAAAUUCUACA
RNAcentral lists this ribosomal RNA (467 nucleotides) under Lassophora sp. MCZ DNA106727. Its description in RNAcentral is "partial large subunit ribosomal RNA". It matches the Rfam family "Bacterial large subunit ribosomal RNA", at positions 1819 to 2600 of the family's 2925-position model. The record is from RNAcentral. Lineage: Eukaryota; Metazoa; Arthropoda; Chilopoda; Scutigeromorpha; Scutigeridae.